UACGUAGGUGGCAAGCGUUGUCCGGAUUUAUUGGGUUUAAAGGGUGCGUAGGCGGUUUUAUAAGUCAGUGCUGAAAUAUCCCGGCUUAACCGGGAGGGUGGCAUUGAUACUGUAAGACUUGAGUCGAGUUGAGGUUGGCGGAAUUGUCGGUGUAGCGGUGAAAUGCGCAGAUAUCGGGAAGAACACCCGUGGCGAAGGCGGUUCUCUGGGACGGUACUGACGCUGAGACGCGAAAGCGUGGGGAGCGAACAGG
RNAcentral lists this ribosomal RNA (253 nucleotides) under uncultured bacterium. RNAcentral's name for it is "partial 16S ribosomal RNA". It matches the Rfam family "Bacterial small subunit ribosomal RNA", at positions 524 to 776 of the family's 1533-position model. The record is from RNAcentral.